UCGGCUGUGGUGUAAUUGGCAACACUGGAGAUUUUGGUUCUCCUAUUUCAGGUUCGAGUCCUGACAGCCGAGCCA
Molecule: transfer RNA, 75 nt
Filed under: Actinoplanes sp. NBRC 101535
Lineage: Bacteria; Bacillati; Actinomycetota; Actinomycetes; Micromonosporales; Micromonosporaceae
Description: tRNA-Gln
Rfam family: tRNA
About the family: Transfer RNA (tRNA) molecules are approximately 80 nucleotides in length.
Source: RNAcentral